ACAAACUGGGCAUUCAGCUCCGUCUGGAAAUCACACACAUGGCAGCUGGACAGAGAACAGAGAGGAGAGGGAAGGAAGAUGGCGAGAAUAACAGGGGGGGAGACCGUCAGCUUCAGUGUUAUAUUAUGUCUGCAUAAAUUGGGCCGGAGUCGCAGUGAGGCGGAGCGCAUGUGAGGAGAGACGGGAGAAGUUUGUGACUCACCACUGUAAUGAAGGUGCAGGAGGGCACAUGUGCGAUGAUAAAUACA
This is a non-coding RNA of Plectropomus leopardus (leopard coralgrouper), 248 nucleotides long. NCBI's taxonomy places the organism in Eukaryota, Metazoa, Chordata, Actinopteri, Perciformes, Serranidae. The record is from RefSeq and is a predicted model, not a curated record.